GUCUGAUGGAGCAACGCCGCGUGAGUGAAGAAGGGUUUUCGGCUCGUAAAAACUCUGUUGUUUAAAGAAGAACAUAUCUGAGAGUAACUGUUCAGGUAUUUGACGGUAUUUAAACCAGAAAGCCACGGCUAACUACGUGCCAGCAGCCGCGGUAAUACGUAGGUGGCAAGCGUUGUCCGGAUUUAUUGGGCGUAAAGCGAGCGCAGGCGGUUUUUAAGUCUGAUGUGAAAGCCUUCGGCUCAACCGAAGAAGUGCAUCGGAAACUGGGAAACGUUGAGUGCAGAAGAGGACAGUGGAACUUCAUGUGUAGCGGUGAAAUAGCGUAGAUAUAUGGAAGAACUACCAGUGGCGAAGGCGGCUGUCUGGUCUGUAACUGACGCUGACGGCUCGAAAGUAUGGGUAGCAAACAGGAUUAGAUACCCUGGUAG
This 428-nucleotide ribosomal RNA is filed under the name uncultured bacterium. RNAcentral describes it as "bacterial SSU rRNA". It matches the Rfam family "Bacterial small subunit ribosomal RNA", at positions 381 to 793 of the family's 1533-position model. The record is from RNAcentral.